UUCAAUGUAUUUUAUUUAAAAUAUUUACUUUACACGUAAAAGUACCACAAGUGUGGCUUUGUGA
Molecule: transfer RNA, 64 nt
Filed under: Schistocephalus pungitii
Lineage: Eukaryota; Metazoa; Platyhelminthes; Cestoda; Diphyllobothriidea; Diphyllobothriidae
Description: tRNA-Val
Source: RNAcentral